Molecule: ribosomal RNA, 424 nt
Filed under: uncultured bacterium
Lineage: Bacteria
Description: partial 16S ribosomal RNA
Rfam family: Bacterial small subunit ribosomal RNA
Source: RNAcentral
GACAUUGGUCAAUGGGGGAAACGCUGAUACAGCCAUCCCGCGUGUAGGAUGAAGGCGUUCGGGGAGUAAAGAACGUCUUGAAGAGAAGAAAAGGUAUCAACUAAUACGGGAUACUGCUGACGGCAGCUGCAGUAUAUGCACAGGAUAACUACGUGCCAGCGGCCGCGGUAAUACUUAGGGUGCAAGCGUUCAUCGGAAUUACUGGGCGUAAAGCGAGUGUAGGCGGUUCGGAAAUCACGAUGUGAAAUCCCAGGGCUCAACCUAUGAACUGCAUUUUUAACUGCCGAGCUAGAGUAUGGCAGAGGGGGGUAAAAUUCCACGUGUAGCAGUGAAAUGCGUAGACAUGUGGAGGAAUACCGAUGGCGAAGGCAGCCCCCUGGGAUAAUACUGACGCUCAGACACGAAAGCGUGGGGAGCAAACAGG